GGGUUGUGAGGUUAAGCGACUAAGCGUACACGGUGGAUGCCCUGGCAGUCAGAGGCGAUGAAGGACGUGCUAAUCUGCGAUAAGCGCCGGUAAGGUGAUAUGAACCGUUAUAACCGGCGAUUUCCGAAUGGGGAAACCCAGUGUGAUUCGUCACACCAUCAUUAACUGAAUCCAUAGGUUAAUGAGGCGAACCGGGGGAACUGAAACAUCUAAGUACCCCGAGGAAAAGAAAUCAACCGAGAUUCCCCCAGUAGCGGCGAGCGAACGGGGAGGAGCCCAGAGCCUGAAUCAGCAUGUGUGUUAGUGGAAGCGUCUGGAAAGGCGCGCGAUACAGGGUGACAGCCCCGUACACAAAAGCGCAUGUGCUGUGAGCUCGAUGAGUAGGGCGGGACACGUGGUAUCCUGUCUGAAUAUGGGGGGACCAUCCUCCAAGGCUAAAUACUCCUGACUGACCGAUAGUGAACCAGUACCGUGAGGGAAAGGCGAAAAGAACCCCGGCGAGGGGAGUGAAAAAGAACCUGAAACCGUGUACGUACAAGCAGUGGGAGCACCCUUCGGGGUGUGACUGCGUACCUUUUGUAUAAUGGGUCAGCGACUUAUAUUCUG
This 606-nucleotide ribosomal RNA is filed under the name Salmonella enterica subsp. enterica serovar Typhimurium. RNAcentral's name for it is "partial 23S ribosomal RNA". It matches the Rfam family "Bacterial large subunit ribosomal RNA", at positions 1 to 637 of the family's 2925-position model. Lineage: Bacteria; Pseudomonadati; Pseudomonadota; Gammaproteobacteria; Enterobacterales; Enterobacteriaceae. The record is from RNAcentral.